GGGCACCUGGCGCAAUGGUAGCGCGUUUGGCUUCGACCGCCUUCUGUCCCCUUGCGGACACGUGACCAAAAGGCUGCAGGUUCGAGUCCUGCGGUGCUCA
Vararia minispora EC-137 is the source of this 100-nucleotide non-coding RNA. Lineage: Eukaryota; Fungi; Basidiomycota; Agaricomycetes; Russulales; Lachnocladiaceae. The record is from the annotation of a GenBank genome assembly.